Non-coding RNA from Schizosaccharomyces pombe (fission yeast), 675 nucleotides. The record is from the annotation of a GenBank genome assembly. Lineage: Eukaryota; Fungi; Ascomycota; Schizosaccharomycetes; Schizosaccharomycetales; Schizosaccharomycetaceae.
CGUUUUGACAAUAGCUUAUACAAUUUACCGUUGUACAACGUACUUUGCUGAACGUAUAGCGUUUCUCGUUAAUCCACGCAUGUUUAUAUCGACGCGUGCCAACUUAUGCUUUCUCCACUUUCUAUUAGCAACGCACAACAAUACGCUGUCAAUUCUCCAUAAUUUUUACUUAAAACAGAAAAGGAACCUUUAUAAAAACGGAAAAUGAUAUAUAUUAUUUUUUUUCACUCGCGUCUUUUAUCAUCUUAACUCAAACAUUUGCGUUUUCAUGACAAAUCAAGCCUAUUUCCAAUACAGUAAAAUACGUUAAACAUUAAUACAGAACUUUUUGUAUAUCCUUAUCUGGUUAUUUUUUCCUUUUUUUUUUUUUAUAAAAAAAAAAUCAGAUGUUACCUUUUUUAAAACAUUGCCAAGUUAAGCGCCUGGCCAUCCAAAGCAAACCAACUCAAAUGUAGGAAUUGAUACAAACAUCGAAAAAUGUGCACUUUUAAAUGUAGCGUUUAAGAAUACCACGCUUACACACUAAUAUGAAAUGUAAAUCCGAGUUUACGAAAUCUGCCAACUCCGGCGGUUUAAAUUAUUUAAGAAAUUAAGGGGGUAACAACUUUACUAAUCCUCCCCCCACAUAUUCCUAAUGAUGGAAAAACGGUAUAGGAAAAUUGCGACAUCGGUAUG